This 542-nucleotide ribosomal RNA is filed under the name uncultured Glomeromycotina. RNAcentral's name for it is "SSU rRNA". It matches the Rfam family "Eukaryotic small subunit ribosomal RNA", at positions 548 to 1098 of the family's 1831-position model. Lineage: Eukaryota; Fungi; Glomeromycota. The record is from RNAcentral.
UUGGAGGCAGUCUGGUGCAGCAGCGCGGUAUUCCAGCUCCAAUAGCGUAUAUUAAAGUUGUUGCAGUUAAAAAGCUCGUAGUUGAAUUUCGGGAUCAGAGUGUCGGUCGUGCCUCGGUACGCACUGUAUUAUUGGUUCCUACCUUCUGAAGAGCCGCGAUGUCAUUAAUUUGGUGUCGUGGGGAAUCAGGACUGUUACUUUGAAAAAAUUAGAGUGUUUAAAGCAGGCUUACGCUUGAAUACAUUAGCAUGGAAUAAUGAAAUAGGACGUUUGAUUCUAUUUUGUUGGUUUCUAGGAUUGACGUAAUGAUUAAUAGGGAUAGUUGGGGGCAUUAGUAUUCAAUUGUCAGAGGUGAAAUUCUUGGAUUUAUUGAAGACUAACUACUGCGAAAGCAUUUGCCAAGGAUGUUUUCAUUAAUCAAGAACGAAAGUUAGGGGAUCGAAGACGAUCAGAUACCGUCGUAGUCUUAACCAUAAACUAUGCCGACUAGGGAUCGGAUGAUGUUAAUUUUUUAAUGACUCAUUCGGCGCCUUACGGGAAAC